UGCUGGUCCCAAUUGUUCUAUUGAACCUAUUGAAAAUACAAUGAAGUAAAAGAAUUAUUCUUCACUCACAUCAAAAAAUUAACAAUAAGAUUCGGUUUACAAAAAAGAUAUCUUAAUUUCCGAUUUGUAAGUUUACAUAUCUGUAACAAUACGGUAGCAGCGCCUGUAUAUGCCUUGUAUGUUAUUUCCAAGUCGAAAGAAAUAUUCAUGACUUGAGUAUCCUAUCAUUAAUGCCAAUUGCUGCUUUACUUGAAGUUAUCGAAUUUAUGAAUUAAGAGAUAACUGUAUUGUAUUUGAAGCUUUGAGGACGUCCAUCGGUAGUUUUAUUGUCGCAAAUUUAGUUUACCUGGUGACGCGUAGCGGAGACAGGUAAACGGGUAUUUGCGACAGUAAAACUACCGAUGGACG
Molecule: long non-coding RNA, 408 nt
Filed under: Mytilus galloprovincialis (Mediterranean mussel)
Lineage: Eukaryota; Metazoa; Mollusca; Bivalvia; Mytilida; Mytilidae
Source: RNAcentral